Long non-coding RNA from Nothoprocta perdicaria, 1717 nucleotides. RefSeq lists it as uncharacterized. The record is from RefSeq and is a predicted model, not a curated record. NCBI's taxonomy places the organism in Eukaryota, Metazoa, Chordata, Aves, Tinamiformes, Tinamidae. The transcript is spliced from 2 exons.
ACCACAAUAAUCAUCCAGGUUUUUUGCCUUCAGCCUGUUUGAGGCCAUGUGGUUUGGAGAUCUGAUCACUAGUCCGAAAAGGAAAGGCUGUUUUCAAGAUUUCUGGGGUGUUUUUUCCUGGAAAAGGUCUCCUGACAAAUGCAGCAACACAGAAUCCUCGUAGGAGUGGUUUAGGCUCUGUGUGAGCUACCUAACUUAGUCAAGUUUCACUGCUGUGGAUCAUCAUCCGUUAUAUGUCAUCAACUCAACUGUCUGUUUCUCUGUAUCUCAUCAAAGACAGCAUAAUUCCUCUGCAUUACAAGCUAAAGUUUGUUCUACCAUACUAAGGAUCACUGGACUAAGGAAUAUAGAUAAAAGAUACGCUUGGGCAUUAGCAAUACAAAAAAAGUUCAUGGUUAAUGUUUCAUCUGCGUUAUACACCACUGCUGGACUUGGUGUUACCUACUUGUUUUAAUCCGAAGAGUCUGCUACAAUGAAGAGUAUCAUCCCAAUCAGCCUUAGAGAAGACUGUUUUGCCUAUGGGAGGACACUGAGGUGCAAAAGAGAAACUCUUCUUGUGCCCUAAACUGUCUGAAUUGCUUUUAUUUUCUUAUACUUUCAGUAUAUACAAUAGACCAAAGAGCAAAAUCUAUUUUAAAGUGGACACAAUGUUACUGUUAUCAGAGUGAUGUCAUUCAAUUGUAGGGGGGCUCCACAAAGAGACGUGAUUCCAGCUUUCACAAAGCUGAGCUAUUGUUGUACAGCAGAACUCUUUCUGGAAAGCUGCAGUAAAAACUAACCCAGAGACCUGCUCUUGAAAUGCCGCAUUCUAGAAAACAUAAUGGAGCAUCGUGAGAAAAUGACCAAUGUUUGAAAAACUUAGACAAAAAGGACACAAACUGUCUACACAGCACCUUUAUUCCUCUGUACUUAGAUUGACUUUCUCAUACUAAAAUCAUUUUCAGUUUUAACCAGUUAAACAUGCCUCUUCUACAGUUCCAUUUUUGAUAGUUAAAGUUGGAUAAUACAGUAUUUGCAAAGAGCAUGUUUGGUCAUCUGUGGCCUAUGUCUCAUCUGAUACACCAUUUAGCACCAGAAAGCAAAUUAAGGAGAAAACAAAAGUAACACUUGUUUGAAAGAGAUCAUUAAAUGUAUUUUGAAAAGCCUAAAGUUAUAUAUUUAACAGUUUUUAUAUGUUGUAUAUUUGUAGAAAAUCCUAUUUAACAAUUAACGUGAUAACUCUGACAGUCAUGACAAGUGGUUCAGAGUUAAGUUGUGUUUUAUUACUUCAGUUGUCUCUGAAGUGACUGGUGUCGUUUGCUUUCUUCCAUUGGGACAUUUUGGAUGUAAAGCAUGACCAGAGAGGACUGUGUAGAAAAAGCAAAGAAUAAUGUUGUUUAUAUUACAUAAAUGCAUUCAACCAUUGCACUGUCGGAAGGCAUUUUUUAUUUUUAUUUUUUUUUUGUCUUUAUGUACCGAUAAAAAUAGAGUGUAAAAUAUUUUAAACAUUGCUCUUCAUAGCAAGGGUUUUUUUUUUUCUUCUUUUUUUCUCUCUCUCUUUUUUUUUUUUUUUUUCUCUUUCUGUCUAUCUUUCUUUCCCCUAGUUUUAGGUAAUAUAGUAUAAGGGCCAGUUUGCAGCCUAUUCCUUGAUCCCGUUUUUCAUUGUUUUACCUCACUGUUAGAAAGCCCACUGUUUCGGCAUUAUUGAUUAGUGAAAAUUUAAUAAAAAUAGCAAUGA